RNAcentral lists this long non-coding RNA (1339 nucleotides) under Equus caballus (horse). Its description in RNAcentral is "lncRNA (ENSECAG00000050676.1)". The record is from RNAcentral. Lineage: Eukaryota; Metazoa; Chordata; Mammalia; Perissodactyla; Equidae.
UGGAUUUCCUCAAAUUAACCUUGCAUUCUUCUUCAUUUCUUCCUGCAUCCAUACCCUAUUAUCUUAAAUCAUUUUCUUUCUGCUUAAACAGCACUGUUGAGUAUGCUCUGCUGGUAAAGAAUCCUGAAAAUGUUUUAACUUCAACUGUAUUAUUGGAGGCUUCAAGCAUACCUUGUUUUAUUGUGUUUCACUUUAUUGUGCUUCACAGAUACUGCAUGGAGGGCAAGACCCUCCACUGGCAAAAAGAUUAUGACUUGCUGAAGGGUCAGAUGGUGGUUGGCAUUUUUUAGCCAUAAAAUAUUUUUUAAUUGAGUGGUCUGGAACUGAACUCCCAAUAUCUCCAAGCUAUGCCAUCUGGGAUGGGGUGAAGCCAGGACAAGAUGUCAUUUGCAAAGGAGGAAGAGCCCAUCUCUGGCUUUCAGAUGGCUGCCAUUUCCUUGUCACUUGCCUUCUAUCAAAAGGACAGGGCCCCCCGCCCCCCAAACCACCACCCCUCUCACAAAUGGGGAGGGAGAAGCCAGAAGGAGGAGAAAUCAAAUGUGGACUUUUCCUGAUUUGUCUAAGAAUAGCAAGUUGGCAAAGCAUGUCACAGAAGAGAAAGUAUUUGAUAAAAAUAGCAUCUGUUCAGCUGGAGACUCAAGCUGGAGACUCAUGGAAAUGAAAUUUAUUCCUUCCCUGAGUUUUCCCAUGCUAGUGUAACAAUUCUGUCUCUCUCAUUAAUGAGAGAGGUUUAAAAUGCUGCUUUCUGUGACCAAAACGGCUUUCUUUCCCACAGUCUGCUGAUGAAGGACGUGCUGGCCAAAUUAAGGAAAGCAGUAGGCCGAGAGGUCCCCCUGGCUGGUCGUGGGUGUGGCUUCACCAGCCUCAUAUCCACCCCAACUUUGAGACUCCGUGUCAGGGGCCUCCAUUAUACCACCUUGUGAGUUUCCUAAACAAGCUAGUCUCACUGACUCACAGGGACCAAAUUAGUAAUAAUAACUGCGUAGUAUUAUUAGUCCCUCAGAGGGAGGCCCCUGGCCAGGCGGCCCUCAGUAAAGAGCAAAGUGGACAGAGGCUGACGUCCCCCUCCUCCCCAAGGUGUCUGAGGCUUUCCCAUUCUCCUCCUGCUACUGAAGACCCUGCAGGGGUGGCCCCCUCAGGUCUGGAUGGAAACCCAAGAUCUGGCCUUUCUCAAAGCACAUCCUACAGCCCAGCGAAUUGCUGUCCUCAUGACUGUCGUCUCGGUCACCCAGUCCUCUGGAUCCCGGCUCCUUGAUGUCCUGCUCUCAGCGGAGCUUCCUUUACUAAAAAGCAGAGUGGAACCAAACUAAUAAUAGACGAAAGCAAGUGACCAAGUAGC